This 1437-nucleotide ribosomal RNA is filed under the name uncultured organism. Its description in RNAcentral is "SSU rRNA". It matches the Rfam family "Bacterial small subunit ribosomal RNA". The record is from RNAcentral.
ACAGGCUUAACACAUGCAAGUCGAGGGGCAUCAGGAAGAAAGCUUGCUUUCUUUGCUGGCGACCGGCGCACGGGUGAGUAACACGUAUCCAACCUGCCCUUUACUCGGGGAUAGCCUUUCGAAAGAAAGAUUAAUACCCGAUGGCAUAAUGAUUCCGCAUGGUUUCAUUAUUAAAAGAUUCCGGUAAAGGAUGGGGAUGCGUUCCAUUAGGUUGUUGGUGAGGUAACGGCUCACCAAGCCUUCGAUGGAUAGGGGUUCUGAGAGGAAGGUCCCCCACAUUGGAACUGAGACACGGUCCAAACUCCUACGGGAGGCAGCAGUGAGGAAUAUUGGUCAAUGGGCGCUAGCCUGAACCAGCCAAGUAGCGUGAAGGAUGAAGGCUCUAUGGGUCGUAAACUUCUUUUAUAUAAGAAUAAAGUGCAGUAUGUAUACUGUUUUGUAUGUAUUAUAUGAAUAAGGAUCGGCUAACUCCGUGCCAGCAGCCGCGGUAAUACGGAGGAUCCGAGCGUUAUCCGGAUUUAUUGGGUUUAAAGGGAGCGUAGGUGGACUGGUAAGUCAGUUGUGAAAGUUUGCGGCUCAACCGUAAAAUUGCAGUUGAUACUGUCAGUCUUGAGUACAGUAGAGGUGGGCGGAAUUCGUGGUGUAGCGGUGAAAUGCUUAGAUAUCACGAAGAACUCCGAUUGCGAAGGCAGCUCACUGGACUGCAACUGACACUGAUGCUCGAAAGUGUGGGUAUCAAACAGGAUUAGAUACCCUGGUAGUCCACACAGUAAACGAUGAAUACUCGCUGUUUGCGAUAUACAGUAAGCGGCCAAGCGAAAGCAUUAAGUAUUCCACCUGGGGAGUACGCCGGCAACGGUGAAACUCAAAGGAAUUGACGGGGGCCCGCACAAGCGGAGGAACAUGUGGUUUAAUUCGAUGAUACGCGAGGAACCUUACCCGGGCUUAAAUUGCAGUGGAAUGAUGUGGAAACAUGUCAGUGAGCAAUCACCGCUGUGAAGGUGCUGCAUGGUUGUCGUCAGCUCGUGCCGUGAGGUGUCGGCUUAAGUGCCAUAACGAGCGCAACCCUUAUCUUUAGUUACUAACAGGUCAUGCUGAGGACUCUAGAGAGACUGCCGUCGUAAGAUGUGAGGAAGGUGGGGAUGACGUCAAAUCAGCACGGCCCUUACGUCCGGGGCUACACACGUGUUACAAUGGGGGGUACAGAAGGCAGCUAGCGGGUGACCGUAUGCUAAUCCCAAAAGCCUCUCUCAGUUCGGAUCGAAGUCUGCAACCCGACUUCGUGAAGCUGGAUUCGCUAGUAAUCGCGCAUCAGCCACGGCGCGGUGAAUACGUUCCCGGGCCUUGUACACACCGCCCGUCAAGCCAUGGGAGCCGGGGGUACCUGAAGUGCGUAACAGGGAGGAUCGCCCUAGGGUAAAACUGGUGACUGGGGCU